GAUGAACGCUGGCGGCGUGCCUAAUACAUGCAAGUCGAGCGAACAGAUGAGGAGCUUGCUCCUCUGACGUUAGCGGCGGACGGGUGAGUAACACGUGGAUAACCUACCUAUAAGACUGGGAUAACUUCGGGAAACCGGAGCUAAUACCGGAUAAUAUAUUGAACCGCAUGGUUCAAUAGUGAAAGACGGUUUUGCUGUCACUUAUAGAUGGAUCCGCGCCGCAUUAGCUAGUUGGUAAGGUAACGGCUUACCAAGGCAACGAUGCGUAGCCGACCUGAGAGAGUGGUCGGCCGCACUGGAGCUGAGACACGGUCCAGACUCCUACGGGAGGCAGCAGUAGGGAAUCGUCCGCAAUGGGCGAAAGCCUGACGGAGCAAGGGCGCGUGAGUGAUGAAGGUCUUCGGAUCGUAAAGCUCUGUUAUUAGGGAAGAACAAAUGUGUAAGUAAAUAUGCACGUCUUGACGGUACCUAAUCAGAAAGCCACGGCUAACUACGUG
Molecule: ribosomal RNA, 497 nt
Filed under: uncultured bacterium
Lineage: Bacteria
Description: partial 16S ribosomal RNA
Rfam family: Bacterial small subunit ribosomal RNA
Source: RNAcentral